Long non-coding RNA from Drosophila hydei, 257 nucleotides. RefSeq lists it as uncharacterized. The transcript is spliced from 3 exons. The record is from RefSeq and is a predicted model, not a curated record. NCBI's taxonomy places the organism in Eukaryota, Metazoa, Arthropoda, Insecta, Diptera, Drosophilidae.
AAUAAACAUCAAUCAAGUAGAUAGUAGAACUGCUUCAGGAACCGCUGGAAACUGGAUAAGAAAAUAUAAAUAUCGCACUAGAAAGUAACCCAUAAAUCCAGUAUCAACAGUGAAUCUCUGCUCGGUCAGGCGGUGACAAUGCGUGCCUAAGACUAAAGAGCUCUGCACGGAAAUGCGCACUGGCGAGGAUUUCUCGAACUGCUGCGAGCUAAGCUCGUCUCUGAGGAGGCCUUGGCAUCCACUGCAUCCAGUGAGCU